UUUGGAUUAGGAUUUGGUCAGGGUUUGAUUUAAGGUUUGGUUUUGGAUUUAGGGUUUGGAUUAGAGUUUAGGGUUGGAUUUGGGUUUGGAUUAGGGUUUGGAUUAGGGUUUGGAUUAGGGUUUAGGGUUUGGUUAGGAUUUGAUUUAGGAUUUGGAUUAGAGUUUGGAUUAGGAUUUGGUUAGGAUUUGAUUUAAGAUUUGGUUUAGGGUUUAGGAUUUGGAUUAGAAUUUAGGGUUGGAUUAGGAUUUGGAUUAGGAUUUGGAUUAGGAUUUAGGAUUUGGUUAGGAUUUGAUUUAAGGUUUGGUUUAGGAUUUAGGGUUGGAUUAGGGUUUGGUUUAGGGUUUGAUUUAGGAUUUGGUUUAGGGUUUAGGGUUUGAAAUAGGGUUUAAUUUAAGAUUUGUUUAGGAUUUGACUUAGGGUUUAGGAAUUAUUAGGGUUUAAGAUUUAAUUAGGUUUGGUCUAAAGUUGAGUGAAAUUCAAUAGGGUUUUAACUAGAAUUAAAUUAAGCUUGAAUUGACAUAUAUUUGAGUAAAAUUUGUGAUCAUUCUAAUAUUUCUUUAAGAAUUUUAUUGUUUAUUUGAAAUUUCUUUGAGUUGUUUUGAAUUUGAUUAUGUUUGUUUACCAUUAUUAUAGUCUAAUUAGAGCAUUGUUAGUAUUCUAUUUAAGAUUUUGUUAUCGCAAUUUCUAUUCUUCCUUCUACAGCUAGGUGCCUGGAGCAUUCUCAAAUAAGACUUCACACAUUACGACAAUGCUGCCUUUUUAGAAAGGUGACUUCUACUUACUUUGUAGGGCCAUAAAUAAGGCAAAGUAAGGUAGAUUGGAAAAAUAAAUGAUAUAGACAUCUUUAGGACGAAGUUAAGAAUAAAUUCUAGUAAAAAUUACUUAAAAAAACUAGAUGUUGAUACCCGGAGAGGGCUGGUUAUGAACCAGGGUUGAAAUCAGACCCUGAGGCACAAAAUCGAGUCUCGAUGAUGAUUUUUGGACUCUUUGGCAGUUGGAGAGUGGGGUUUGAGAGGAGAUUGGAUAAGGUUUCUACAAGCAUUGAUUUUGGAUGAUUUGUAGUUAUUAUGACUUUGUAAGAGCUUUAUAAAGUCAAGAUUUAUUUUAGAUGACUUGGAUUUUAUGAAAUAAAAUAGGGUUUACGUUUUCGAUGAUUUCAAGAGUUUUGUAAUAGAUCUACAAAUGAAAGUUUAUAGAUUUAUGGUUAUAGUUGUGAAUUUGAGCUUGAUCUAAUGGUUGAAUUAAGGGAUAUUGAGGUUUAAGUGGAUUAAGGUCUCAGAAAGUGGAAUUUUAGGUCUAGUAGAGAU
Molecule: long non-coding RNA, 1308 nt
Filed under: Physcomitrium patens
Lineage: Eukaryota; Viridiplantae; Streptophyta; Bryopsida; Funariales; Funariaceae
Description: long non-coding RNA (PPAT_LNC010736)
Source: RNAcentral